UAAUUGAUAAUAUAUAUUCUAUUUAAAAUUUGUCUAAUUCUGGCUUAAAUGAGUGGAGGGUAUGUUGCUGGUGGCAUAUUUGGCUGUACAGUAUUUAUAAGAGAAAUGGUUUUGUCAUUGAACAGUUGAUGCUGGCAGGAUGGGUAGGAUGGUGAGUGGGAUGGGAUCAGGUGUGAACAAUUUGCAGAAUAUGGUAGGGUACAAGAGGUGGGUGGACACAGUUUGUAAUUAGGGUGUUAAUGUGUGUGUGUUGAUUCCCCCCUCUUCCCAUCACCAAGCCAAGCAUUGAAAUAGGUGGUUAUUCAGUGAGUGUAUUUGUUGGUACUCUAAAUGAUAAUUCAUGAGCACUAUACAGUACACUGGUGUGCUGCUGUGGAUAACUGCUAAUAUAUGGGGUGGUAGGUUAUUGUGAAUAAUAAUUUUUUUUAACCUUUAUGCAAAUUGUCCUUUUUUCUCCAGGCUGAUUUCUUUUCACCAUUAAAUCUGGGCACGUGGUAAUGAGGAGGAAGUCUAAAUGUGUACAAAUACAAAUAUAAUUUUUGUGCUGAAACAUUUUUGUUUUUUCUAAGAAAUGUUGAUCUGGAUGUGUGAUAGUACAUAAGCUGUGCUAUAUUAGCCUUAUCAUGAUGAUAUCAGCGUGUCAGCUGAAAAGUAUGAUGUAUUCUAUCUUAAGUUCUGAUGUUAUUUGCACAAUGUAGAAUUUUUUUGUUUUAUUUUAUUUUACAACUGAUCUUUCUCUUCCACAGGCGUGUCGGGUAUAUACAGGGUGAUCAUUGUUAUAUUGUCUACUAGUCUCUACUAGUGAUAUGCUUAUCUAGUAUCUUUUGAACAUCCUGCAACUUUGAUAGUGGUGCAGUCUCCUGGGCUUGGCAGGGAGAUACAGUACUUGACAAGUUCCUUGUGCAUAAUCUCGCAGAUUUAUGACGAUGGGGACCCAAGCAUUUUGGUUCUCGAAUGACCCUGUGAAUGCUGCUGCUAUGAAAAUCAUUUGUAAUUACCUAAGUGUAGUUACAGGAUGAGAGCUACGCUCGUGGUAUCCCGUCUUCCCAGCAAUUUGUGCCUAUGUCACUGUGUCAUCUCGUAAAGUGAUUACUUUUUUGGGUAUCUGCAACUUGGAACAAUUAGUAAUUGAUAUUACAGAUAACAAACUACUCAUAAAUAUGGUCUUCCUCCUAUCACAAUCAUUGGGGGGGGGGUAGGAAAUUGCUUUGGCCAAAUGUGCUUAACUAAUGGCACGUAUGACAACAAUGCCCUGCUCAUCCUUGGCCCACUUACAGUUGUGUGUAACCUCAGUUUUAGGAUUAUAGUAAGUCUUGCAUUACCAAUGUCCCUCUGAUUUUGUACCUCAAUAAAAUAUUUUGGGAAUCUGAUACUUUUUAUCUCUUUCUUGUCUUUUUGCUCUCAUAUUGGCAUCUCCGGUGAAACUUGGGAGCUUUUGAAUAUCCUGUGAGAUGGAUGGAAGUCAUCAAGCCAGAAUGAUUGUCUUGUAAAAUUCAAGGAUCUGCACAAUGUAUUAAUAUUUCCAAAGUAGUAUUUUUAAUCAUAACUAAUGUAUUUAUUUUAGACGUGCUGUCCUGUUCAGUAUUUACAAAAACUAAUCUGCUAUAGAUAUGUGUAUACACUACAGUUAUUAUAUUAUACCUUCUUACUCUUUAAUUUAAACUGGCAAUCUACAUUUGUGAAAGCAGAUAUGGGAUGUAAUAGCAGAAUAAUUAUUGCCUACACAAGUGUUCUUGCCGUGUCUUGGAUAUAGUACAAUAUCCUUGUCCUUGUUACAUUCCAGUAAGCUAAACAUAAAUAAAAUUCAGUGUAGAUCAGGCUGCAUCGUUCUGUUCUCUCUGUCAUCAUUUUUAACAAAAUCUUUCAACAUUGUCAUUACUUCAUUGUCAAAUUCUUGUGGAGUUUGCCGGACGCCUGUAAAACAUGUAAAUUUUUAUUGGAAUUUAUUAGAAGCUAGACAAUAUAUCUUGUUAGAUUGGCAUUUUUAUACACAAUUUUUGAAUGUAACAUUAAUUGGUAUAAGACAAAUUCUAACCACUUUAGGUGAAUUGCCCAACUGAUACAGAUCCGAAGGAUCUCAUUACAAUUUCAUACUGGCUUACUGCUUUCUUUAUUUUGAUCACAGCUACAUAAUUUCAUAAAUACUGUAUGAAAAACACAAUAAAAUUAUAAAUCACC
Molecule: long non-coding RNA, 2178 nt
Organism: Procambarus clarkii (red swamp crayfish)
Lineage: Eukaryota; Metazoa; Arthropoda; Malacostraca; Decapoda; Cambaridae
Source: RefSeq, a predicted model, not a curated record